AUUGAACGCUGGCGGCAUGCCUUACACAUGCAAGUCGAACGGCAGCACGGGUGCUUGCACCUGGUGGCGAGUGGCGAACGGGUGAGUAAUACAUCGGAACAUGUCCUGUAGUGGGGGAUAGCCCGGCGAAAGCCGGAUUAAUACCGCAUACGAUCUACGGAUGACAGCGGGGGACCUUCGGGCCUCGCGCUAUAGGGUUGGCCGAUGGCUGAUUAGCUAGUUGGUGGGGUAAAGGCCUACCAAGGCGACAAUCAGUAGCUGGUCUGAGAGGACGACCAGCCACACUGGGACUGAGACACGGCCCAGACUCCUACGGGAGGCAGCAGUGGGGAAUUUUGGACAAUGGGCGAAAGCCUGAUCCAGCAAUGCCGCGUGUGUGAAGAAGGCCUUCGGGUUGUAAAGCACUUUUGUCCGGAAAGAAAUCCUUGGCCCUAAUACGGUCGGGGGAUGACGGUACCGGAAGAAUAAGCACCGGCUAACUACGUG
This 486-nucleotide ribosomal RNA is filed under the name uncultured bacterium. RNAcentral's name for it is "partial 16S ribosomal RNA". It matches the Rfam family "Bacterial small subunit ribosomal RNA", at positions 30 to 507 of the family's 1533-position model. The record is from RNAcentral.